This 199-nucleotide long non-coding RNA is filed under the name Elaeis guineensis (African oil palm). RNAcentral describes it as "long non-coding RNA (EGUI_LNC017156)". Lineage: Eukaryota; Viridiplantae; Streptophyta; Magnoliopsida; Arecales; Arecaceae. The record is from RNAcentral.
CUUUAUGCAAUAGUCACUGAAUGUGGGUAUGGUUGUGAUUACAUCAGUUGGUUCAGUCAGACCUUCAUGUUUGCAUAUGACAAGAAACUUAUGAUCUAAACUGUUGUUCUUUUCAAGUGCUACUAGUUAUCAUGAAAUGUAUGUGGCACCCAAAUAGAUAUAUAGGGGACAGCUUUGGUGAUGCAGAAAACACCAAGGC